Long non-coding RNA from Melanotaenia boesemani (Boeseman's rainbowfish), 224 nucleotides. RefSeq lists it as uncharacterized. The record is from RefSeq and is a predicted model, not a curated record. NCBI's taxonomy places the organism in Eukaryota, Metazoa, Chordata, Actinopteri, Atheriniformes, Melanotaeniidae. The transcript has 3 exons.
AGUGUGAUGGAAAAUAUUUGCUCAUUUUGAAUUUGAUGGCAGCAGCAUAUCUCCAAAAAGUUGGAAGUGGAGCAACGAAAGACUAAAAAGGAAUAGGCACAAAUCUAAAACAAUUGGAUGAUUAUACCACAACCAAUUAGGUUAAUUUACAACAGCUCAGUAACAUAAGUGGGUAUAAAAUGAGCAUCAGAGAGGCAGAGACUCUCAGAUGGAAAGAUGGAGAG